Parasteatoda tepidariorum (common house spider) is the source of this 445-nucleotide non-coding RNA. Lineage: Eukaryota; Metazoa; Arthropoda; Arachnida; Araneae; Theridiidae. The record is from RefSeq and is a predicted model, not a curated record.
CAUCUAAAUAGUUAAUUUUCCUUCAGGUCUUCAAACCACUUGAUCUGCAAUCGCUACCAAAGCAUCCAUGUCUUAGGGACAUCAAUGUUGAGGUGUGAGGAACUAUGGAUGGCAUAGCCGUGAACACCAAAAUUAAAGAUGCAGUAGCUGUAGCAACUUGGUUUGCGUCUUAUUACAUAUUAGGGUGCUUUGUUAGAAUAAAUCCAGUGUCUGGCUCCAAAGUAGAAAGGGAAAAGAUUGUUUAUCAGAAAUUCUCCCUAAGACUUUAAGCUUUCUAUCUUUGACAGUUGGGUGAAAGAUUGUCGACAUUAAUAAAUUCAUCAAUUUUUUAUUCUUUCCUUCAUUCACAGGGUGCGUAACAUUUUAAAAAAGUGUUUAAAGGUGUUUAUUUUGCUUAUAUGAAAUGAUCUGUAGAAAUUAAUAAAGUCAUUUUUGUUAUUUGUAA